GUAGUCUCGCACAGAUGCAUAUCAAUAAGCGGAGGAAAAGAAACUAACAAGGAUUCCCCUAGUAACGGCGAGUGAAGCGGGAAGAGCUCAAAUUUGAAAUCUUAAAGGGUUUCCCUUUACGAAUUGUAGUUUAAAGAAGUGUUUUCUGUUGAGGUUUUGGUAAAAGUUCUUUGGAAUAGGACAUCAUAGAGGGUGAGAAUCCCGUAUUUGACCUUUACUUUCAACUUUGUGAUACACUUUCAAAGAGUCGGAUUGUUUGGGAAUGCAGUCCAAAAUGGGUGGUAAAUUUCAUCUAAAGCUAAAUAUUGGCGAGAGACCGAUAGCGAACAAGUACCGUGAGGGAAAGAUGAAAAGAACUUUGAAAAGAGAGUUAAACAGUACGUGAAAUUGUCAAAAGGGAAGCGUUUGACACCAGUGUUGUUUUUCUGAAAAUCAAUUAAAGAACUGUUUAUGCUAAGCUGUUUAGACUUUAUCAGCUAACUGUUUAGUUUUGAGCUUUUCUUUAAUGCACUUUUCAGUUAACAAGUCAACAUCAAUUUCUUUUGCUGUAAAAAAGCUUGAGGAAGGUGGCUUGAGAUUCGUCCUUAAGUGUUUAUAGCCUCUUGCCUAUGCAGUCGGAGAGAUUGAGGUCUGCAGCGUAGAUCCUUCGGGGCUAAAUGCAUUUGUGCUAAGUUAUAGCAUUUUAUAGACAACUUGUUGACUAUGAUUUGUCUUGUAGCUUACUCGCUUAUGUUAUUUUACCUACGCUUAGGAUGUUGAAGACUCUACAGAGAUA
RNAcentral lists this ribosomal RNA (775 nucleotides) under uncultured Neocallimastigales. Its description in RNAcentral is "partial large subunit ribosomal RNA". It matches the Rfam family "Eukaryotic large subunit ribosomal RNA", at positions 24 to 633 of the family's 3401-position model. Lineage: Eukaryota; Fungi; Neocallimastigomycota; Neocallimastigomycetes; Neocallimastigales. The record is from RNAcentral.